Molecule: ribosomal RNA, 441 nt
Filed under: uncultured bacterium
Lineage: Bacteria
Description: partial 16S ribosomal RNA
Rfam family: Bacterial small subunit ribosomal RNA
Source: RNAcentral
CCUACGUGGUGCAGUAGUGGGGAAUAUUGCACAAUGGGGGAAACCCUGAUGCAGCGACGCCGCGUGAGUGAAGAAGUAUUUCGGUAUGUAAAGCUCUAUCAGCAGGAACGAGACAAGACGGUAGCUGACUAAGAAGCACCGGCUAACUACGUGCCAGCAGCCGCGGUACUACGUAGGGGGCAAGCGUUAUCCGGAUUAACUGGGUGUAAAGGGAGUGUAGACGGCUGUGCAAGCCUGAUGUGAAAGGCGGGGGCCCAACCCCUGGACUGCUUUGGAAACUGUACGGCUGGAGUGCAGGAGAGGUGAGUGGAAUUCCUAGUGUAGCGGUGAAAUGCGUAGAUAUUAGGAGGAACACCAGUGGCGAAGGCGGCUUACUGGACUGUAACUGACGUUGAGGCUCGAAAGCGUGGGGAGCAAACAGGAUUAGAUACCCUGGUAGUC